AACUACAGCCAUAUCACCCUGCAACUCACAACUGGGAACCCACUGAAGGUAAGCUGAGCCUGGUCAGUACCUGGAUGGGAGACCUCCUGGGAAAACUAAGGUUGCUGCUGGAA
Molecule: ribosomal RNA, 113 nt
Filed under: Lepisosteus oculatus (spotted gar)
Lineage: Eukaryota; Metazoa; Chordata; Actinopteri; Semionotiformes; Lepisosteidae
Source: RNAcentral